This 508-nucleotide ribosomal RNA is filed under the name uncultured bacterium. Its description in RNAcentral is "bacterial SSU rRNA". It matches the Rfam family "Bacterial small subunit ribosomal RNA", at positions 15 to 518 of the family's 1533-position model. The record is from RNAcentral.
GAUCAUGGCUCAGGAUGAACGCUGGCGGCGUGCCUAAUACAUGCAAGUCGAACGAGAGUGCUUGCACUCUAGUGGCGAACGGGUGAGUAACACGUAGGUAACCUGCCUUACAGUUGGGAUACCCUGGCGAAAGCUAGGCUAAUACCGAAUAAUUGGAUUGGAGGCAUCUCCGAUCUCUAAAAGGGGCCUUUAAAGCCUCGCUGAAUGAUGGACCUGCGGCGCAUUAGCUAGUUGGUGAGAUAACAGCCCACCAAGGCGAGGAUGCGUAGCCGACCUGAGAGGGUGAACGGCCACACUGGAACUGAGACACGGUCCAGACUCCUACGGGAGGCAGCAGUAGGGAGUUUUCGGCAAUGGGGGCAACCCUGACCGAGCAACGCCGCGUGAAUGAUGAAGGUCUUCGGAUUGUAAAGUUCUGUUAUAAGGGAAAAAUGAUAUGGUGAGGAAAUGCUCCAUAUUUGAUGGUACCUUAUUAGAAAGCCACGGCUAACUACGUGCCAGCCGCCGC